This 872-nucleotide ribosomal RNA is filed under the name Staphylococcus aureus. Its description in RNAcentral is "partial 23S ribosomal RNA". It matches the Rfam family "Bacterial large subunit ribosomal RNA", at positions 1337 to 2204 of the family's 2925-position model. The record is from RNAcentral. Lineage: Bacteria; Bacillati; Bacillota; Bacilli; Caryophanales; Staphylococcaceae.
CCGAUUGACUAAGGUUUCCAGAGGAAGGCUCGUCCGCUCUGGGUUAGUCGGGGCCUAAGCUGAGGCCGACAGGCGUAGGCGAUGGAUAACAGGUUGAUAUUCCUGUACCACCUAUAAUCGUUUUAAUCGAUGGGGGGACGCAGUAGGAUAGGCGAAGCGUGCGAUUGGAUUGCACGUCUAAGCAGUAAGGCUGAGUAUUAGGCAAAUCCGGUACUCGUUAAGGCUGAGCUGUGAUGGGGAGAAGACAUUGUGUCUUCGAGUCGUUGAUUUCACACUGCCGAGAAAAGCCUCUAGAUAGAAAAUAGGUGCCCGUACCGCAAACCGACACAGGUAGUCAAGAUGAGAAUUCUAAGGUGAGCGAGCGAACUCUCGUUAAGGAACUCGGCAAAAUGACCCCGUAACUUCGGGAGAAGGGGUGCUCUUUAGGGUUAACGCCCAGAAGAGCCGCAGUGAAUAGGCCCAAGCGACUGUUUAUCAAAAACACAGGUCUCUGCUAAACCGUAAGGUGAUGUAUAGGGGCUGACGCCUGCCCGGUGCUGGAAGGUUAAGAGGAGUGGUUAGCUUCUGCGAAGCUACGAAUCGAAGCCCCAGUAAACGGCGGCCGUAACUAUAACGGUCCUAAGGUAGCGAAAUUCCUUGUCGGGUAAGUUCCGACCCGCACGAAAGGCGUAACGAUUUGGGCACUGUCUCAACGAGAGACUCGGUGAAAUCAUAGUACCUGUGAAGAUGCAGGUUACCCGCGACAGGACGGAAAGACCCCGUGGAGCUUUACUGUAGCCUGAUAUUGAAAUUCGGCACAGCUUGUACAGGAUAGGUAGGAGCCUUUGAAACGUGAGCGCUAGCUUACGUGGAGGCGCUGGUGGGAUACUACC